CCGGAUACAGGAUGUUCACCAUCUUACCAGAGACGUUCAAAAGACUGACCUCCUGACUGGACCAGAGUCAGUGAACUUUGGACACCAAACAAACCGCUUCUCAAUCAGACAAUAAGAAGGAUGUUUACCAUUUUACCAGAUGUACAAAAGACUGACUUCCUGACUGGACCGGAGCCGAUGAACGUUGGACACCAAACAAACCUCUCUUCAGUUGAACAGUAAAAAGAUGUCCGUAAUGAUGAUGAGAUCUCACCCGAGUGUCAUCUCCACCAGCGUGUUCUGACUCAGGUAGGCUGACUGAGGCUUCAUCCCACUGGACACCAGAGGAAGAACUUUCUGAGGCAGCUGUUCCUGAAGCUGCACAAACACAGUAAAACCUCGUUUAAUGUACUACAGCUCGUUAGGAAACCAACAUCUAAUUAAAGCUUCAAGCAGUGUUGGAUGGGCCCUCGCAUGUCGGGGCAUGUUGCGGCGACAGGGCAGUUGCUCAUCAGCAUGGCUCUGAGUUAUCAUGUGCUUUUGAUGCCUCACGAAGAAGUUAAACGUCACUUCCUGUGUCCCCUGUGGCGCUAGAGAACAUCCGCAAAAUCUACCAGUACAGUAAGUAAGUAAGUAAGUGUGUUAAAUUAAAUGAGCACCAUCAUACAAAGCGUACUUCCUGUUGCCAGUAGGGGGCGCUAUAACAUUAAUUGAAUAUCAGGUGCAUUUCAGAUGAUUGCGGCUCGCUUUCGCCAACUUGAUGACUGCAGGGGGGGGGGUAUAAAAACGGCGCCGUUAACUUGGACACAUUCUACCUGUGUGAGCUUACUGUGAGCUGAAAUCAAUGACAAAAGGUGAUUCCAACUUUGUGUAGCCGGAGAGCAACUGCGGUCGCUGGACUCCUAUGCUCCUGUGAGG
This is a long non-coding RNA of Micropterus salmoides (largemouth bass), 897 nucleotides long. RefSeq lists it as uncharacterized. Lineage: Eukaryota; Metazoa; Chordata; Actinopteri; Centrarchiformes; Centrarchidae. The transcript is spliced from 3 exons. The record is from RefSeq and is a predicted model, not a curated record.